CUGCAUGGCUGUCGUCAGCUCGUGUUGUGAAAUGUUGGGUUAAGUCCCGCAACGAGCGCAACCCUUAUCCUUGUUUGCCAGCACGUAAUGGUGGGAACUCCAGGGAGACUGCCGGUGAUAAACCGGAGGAAGGUGGGGACGACGUCAAGUCAUCAUGGCCCUUACGAGUAGGGCUACACACGUGCUACAAUGGCGUAUACAGAGGGCAGCGAUACCGCGAGGUGGAGCGAAUCUCACAAAGUACGUCGUAGUCCGGAUUGG
This 261-nucleotide ribosomal RNA is filed under the name Vibrio cholerae. RNAcentral's name for it is "partial 16S ribosomal RNA". It matches the Rfam family "Bacterial small subunit ribosomal RNA", at positions 1041 to 1301 of the family's 1533-position model. Lineage: Bacteria; Pseudomonadati; Pseudomonadota; Gammaproteobacteria; Vibrionales; Vibrionaceae. The record is from RNAcentral.